UUUUGCCCAGGAGAUCGGGAGAGGGGUUCUGGUCUAGCAUGAGGGCUGGGACCCACCAGGUUUUUUCCUGGUGUCCCACCGGGCCAGUCCGACCCUGUGUACAGAGAUGUGGGGGGAGAGUGUCAUUCAAAGUCUAUGGGAAGUGACUGUUCCCACUGAGUUUAUAUUCUAUAGUCUGACAUUUUGUUUUACUUGUAGAACGCACUUCGGAUUCAUGUAUUAGAAGCAAGAAAUCUCGUUGCAAACGACUUCUUCUCCAAGAAAUCAGACCCUUUUGUAGUUGUGCGCGGAGGAGGCACAGUUGGGAAAACCAGGGUCAUAUCUAAGAACCUCAACCCGCAGUGGAACCAGACAUUUGAGAUAUUAUUUUCAGAUUUACCAGGGCAGGAGAUUGAAUUUGAGGUUCUGGACAAAAAUGUUCAGAGAGAUGAUUCACUGGGCAGGUGAGUAUUUCUCUUUGUAUCAGGGUCUGGGCUUCCAUUUAUUUUAUCUUUAUUUCAUCUUUUAAUACAUAUACUGAUUUUCCUUUUCUCUUCCCCAAUGUCCAGCUGUAAAAUUGCAGUUCCACAUGUGCUAAAGAAGAAAUUCAUUGAUAAGUGGAUCCGGUUGGACAAUGUGAAGUCUGGGGAGCUCCAUAUCAAGGUGGAAACUCUCAAACUCUUUUCAGACCGUGACAAGCUGCAGAAGGUAAAGUCUCUGUUCCUUCUUAUCUGACUAAAUGGGGAAAGGUUGGGCUCUUUUGCCCUUUAAUCCAUCUACUUUGUUU
Molecule: RNA transcript, 766 nt
Organism: Xenopus laevis (African clawed frog)
Lineage: Eukaryota; Metazoa; Chordata; Amphibia; Anura; Pipidae
Gene name: extended synaptotagmin-2-like
Exons: 3
Source: RefSeq, a predicted model, not a curated record